AAUGCCGCGUGAGUGAAGAAGGCCUUCGGGUUGUAAAGCUCUUUUGUCAGGGAAGAAAAGGGUGCGGCUAAUAUCUGCGCCUCAUGACGGUACCUGAAGAAUAAGCACCGGCUAACUACGUGCCAGCAGCCGCGGUAAUACGUAGGGUGCAAGCGUUAAUCGGAAUUACUGGGCGUAAAGCGUGCGCAGGCGGUUUUGUAAGACUGUCGUGAAAUCCCCGGGCUCAACCUGGGAAUGGCGAUGGUGACUGCAAGGCUAGAGUUUGGCAGAGGGGGGUAGAAUUCCACGUGUAGCAGUGAAAUGCGUAGAUAUGUGGAGGAACACCGAUGGCGAAGGCAGCCCCCUGGGUCAAAACUGACGCUCAUGCACGAAAGCGUGGGGAGCAAACAGGAUUAGAUACCCUGGUAGUCCACGCCCUAAACGAUGUCUACUAGUUGUCGGGUCUUAAUUGACUUGGUAACGCAGCUAACGCGUGAAGUAGACCGCCUGGGGAGUACGGUCGCAAGAUUAAAACUCAAAGGAAUUGACGGGGACCCGCACAAGCGGUGGAUGAUGUGGAUUAAUUCGAUGCAACGCGAAAAACCUUACCUACCCUUGACAUGGAUGGAAUCUUUGAGAGAUU
RNAcentral lists this ribosomal RNA (622 nucleotides) under Oxalobacteraceae bacterium Ri1Pt_3816. RNAcentral's name for it is "bacterial SSU rRNA". It matches the Rfam family "Bacterial small subunit ribosomal RNA", at positions 393 to 1008 of the family's 1533-position model. The record is from RNAcentral. Lineage: Bacteria; Pseudomonadati; Pseudomonadota; Betaproteobacteria; Burkholderiales; Oxalobacteraceae.